This 574-nucleotide ribosomal RNA is filed under the name Zhuliangozyma blackwelliae. RNAcentral's name for it is "eukaryotic LSU rRNA". It matches the Rfam family "Eukaryotic large subunit ribosomal RNA", at positions 62 to 648 of the family's 3401-position model. The record is from RNAcentral. Lineage: Eukaryota; Fungi; Ascomycota; Pichiomycetes; Serinales; Debaryomycetaceae.
AAACCAACAGGGAUUGCCUCAGUAGCGGCGAGUGAAGCGGCAAAAGCUCAAAUUUGAAAUCUGGCGCGGUUCCGCGUCCGAGUUGUAAUUUGAAGAAGGCGACUUUGGGUCCGGCUCUUGUCUAUGUUCCUUGGAACAGGACGUCACAGAGGGUGAGAAUCCCGUGCGAUGAGAUGUCCCGGGCCCGUGUAAAGUGCUUUCGACGAGUCGAGUUGUUUGGGAAUGCAGCUCUAAGUGGGUGGUAAAUUCCAUCUAAAGCUAAAUAUUGGCGAGAGACCGAUAGCGAACAAGUACAGUGAUGGAAAGAUGAAAAGAACUUUGAAAAGAGAGUGAAAAAGUACGUGAAAUUGUUGAAAGGGAAGGGCUUGAGAUCAGACUUGAUAUUAGCGCAAGUGCGAUGCCGUCAGGCGCGCGCCGCUGCGAUGGAAUCAGGCCAGCAUCGGUUUGUGCGGCAGGAUAAUGGCGGAGGAAAGUGGCACGGUUCGCUGUGUGUUAUAGCCUCUGUUGAUACUGCCUGCGUAGACCGAGGACCGCGGCUUCUGCCUAGGAUGCUGGCGUAAUGAUCUUAAGUCGC